CUACUAUUUUAAAAGCAUGUGACCUUAUAGAUCUAUAAAAUGUGAGAAGUGUUCAACAAUCUUUGAUAUUACACAUAAACCCCACACUAAAAUGCCUUUCAAUAAGUAAAAUGAACCAUUUUAAAUACAGGGAAUUCUAAUUAGAUUGGCAUAGUUAAGGCCAAAAAUAUAAAGUAGACAUUGCUCCCUUAUUUAUCUUCAACCCUUGCGUUUAAGAGGCAAAUGAACACAAAACACAGGUGAAUCUUGCUUUGUUCUGAGACAGUGAAGAAAUUUCCCCAGUAUUUAAAUAUAUUUACAUAAACAGUUAUAUAAAUCUAAAUAAAACCAAUCUCCAAUAAGUUUUAAGAUGGCACUCACCAUCUUUGUGGAAAGUUGAACGUUACUAACGAAGUCUAAUCAUAUCUUUGGAAGGGGUAAACAGUAAUAGCACUUACUGAAUUGGAAUUACUAUUAAAUUCACAAACUGAACAUACUCAUUUAGCCACAAGCCAGUCUUAGUUUUAAAUCAGGACUGCCCAGCAAAAUAUUCUGUCAGUCAUUCAUGAUCUGAAUUCUAGUGUAUGAGAUCUAUUAAAGUAUGGUACAUGUAGAAAAGUCAUGAGACAUUUCUGUUUUGUAGUAAAUAAGGCCUUUGCCCAUUUUUAAAUGAAAUUAUUUUUUCCACUGUUGAUUUGAGUUCCUUGUGUAUUAUGUAUAUUAGUCCCCUGUUUGAGGAGUAAUUUGCAAAUAUUUUCUCCCAUUCAAGAGGUUGUCUCUUUACUCCAUUGGUUAUUUCUUUUGCUGUGCAGAAGCUUUUUAGUUUAAUAUACUUCCAUUUGUGUGUGUGUGUGUGUGUGUGUGUGUGUGUGUGUGUGUGUUUCUUUUUUUUCAGACAGGGUCUCAUUCUGUUGCCCAGGCUGGAGUGCAGUGGUAUGAUCUUGGCUCACUGCAGCCUCUGCCUCCUUGGUUCAAGCGAUCCUCCUACCUCAGCCUCCUGAGUAGCUGGGACUAAAGGUAUGUGCCACAACACUUGGCUAAUUUUUGUACUUUUUUUGGUAGAGAUGGGUUUUUACCAUGUUGCCCAGGCUGGUCUUGAACUCCUGGGAUCAAGCAAUCUGCCCACGUCGGCCUCCCAAAGUGCUGGGAUUACAGGUGUGAGCCACCAUGCCCAGCCUAUUUUUGUUUUUAUUGCCUGUGCUUUUGAGGUCUUAGCCAUAAAAAUCUUUGCCUAGACCAGUAAGUAUCCUGAGGAGUUUUCCCUGUUUUAUUCUAGUGGUUUUAUAGUUUCGGGUCUUACGUUUAAGUAUUUAAUCCAUUUUGAGUAGACUUUUGUACAUGGUGAAAGAUAGGGGUACAGUUUCAUUCUUUUUUUUUUUUUUUUUUUUUUUUUUUACUUCAGGUUAUGUAUCUGAUAGCCAGUUUCAUUCUUCUCAGUAUGGUUAUCCACUUGCCUCAGCACCAUUUAUUGAAAAGGGUGUCAUUUCUCCAAUGUAUGUUCUUGGUGGCUUUGUUGAAGAUCAGUUGGCUAUAAAUAUGUGGAUUUAUUUCUGGGUUCUCUAUUCUAUUAGAUUGGUCUAUUUGUCUAUUUUCAUUCCAACAUCAUGCUGUUUUGGUUACUUGUAGUCUGUUUUGAAGUCAGGUAGUGUGAUACCUCCAGCUUGGUUCUUUUUGCUUAGUAAUGCUUUGGCUAUUUGUGUUCUUUCUUGGUUCCAUACAAAUUUUGGAAUUUUUUUUUCUAUUUCUGUGAAAAAUGAUAUUAGUAUUUUUGAUAAGGAUUGUAUCAAAUCUGUAGAUUACUUUGGGCAGUAUGGUCAUUUUAAUGAUAUGAAUUCUUCCAAUCCAUGGGCACAAAAUGUCUUUCCAUUUAUUCGUAUCCUCUUCGAUUUCUUUCAUAGUGUUUUGUAGUUUUCCUUGUAGAGAUCUUUCACCUCCUUGGUUAAAUUUAUUUCUAGGUAUUUUUUUUUGGUAAUGGGAACUGCCUUCUGGAUUUCUUUUUUGCCUAUUUCAUUAUUGGAGUAUAGAAGUGCUACCAAUUUUUGUGUUUUUGUAUCCUGUAAUUUUACUGAAUUUAUCAGUUCUAGGAGUUUUUUGGUGGCACCUUUUGUUUUUUCUAGAUAUAAAAUUAUGUCGUCUGCAAAGAAGGAUCAUUUGGCUUUCUCUUUUCCAAAUUAGAUGCCUUUUAUUUCUUGUUCUUGUCUGAUUGCUCUGGCUAGGACUUCCAGUACUAUGUUGAAUAGAAGCGGUGAAAGUGGGCAUUCUUGACUUGUUCCAAUUAAUAGAGGAAAGGUUUUCACCAUUCAGUAUGAUGAUAGCUGUAGGUUUGUUCUAAUAUUGCCUUUAUUAUUUUGAGGUAUGAUUCUUCUAUGCCUAAUUUGUUGAGCAUUUUUAAUCCUGAAGCAGUGUUGAAUUUUGUCAAAUCUUUUUUCUGCAUCUAUUGAGAUUAACAUAUGGUUUUGCCCUUCAUUUUGUUGAUGUGGUGUAUCAUGUUUAUUGAUUUGCAUGUGCUGAACCAUCCUUGCAUUCCUAGUAUAAAUUUAAAUUGAUCAUGGUGUAUUAUCUUUUUGAUGUGCUGUUGCACUUAGUUUGCUAGUAUUUUGUUGAGGGUUUUUGCAUCUGUGUUAAUCAGGGAUAUUGGCCUGUACUUUUCUUUUUUUGUUGUGUCCUUGUCUGGUUUUGGCAUCAGAGUAAUACUGGCCUUACAGAAUGAGUAAGAGAUGAUUCCCUCCUUUUCAAGUUUUUGGAAUAGUUUGAGGAGGAUUGUUAUUAAUUUUUCUUUUUGCAUUUGGUAAAAUUCAGCUGUUAUUCCAUCUGGUCCUGGACUUUUCUUUGUUGAGAGGCUUUUUCUUACUGAUUCAAUCUUGCUACCUGUUAUUGGUCUGUUCAGGUUUUUUAUUUCAUCCUGAUUCAAUCUUGGUGGGUUUUGUUUCCAGGAAUUUAUUCAUUUCCUCUACAUAUUCCAGUUGGUUAUCAUAUAGUUAGUUGUUCAUAAUGAUCUCUGAUGAUCUUUUGUAUUUCUGUGGUAUCAGUUGUAAUGUAUCCUUUUUCAUUUCUGACUUUGUUUAUUUGGGUCUUCUCUCUUCUUGGUUAGUCUAGUGGUUUAUAAACUUUAUCUUUUCAAAGAGCAUAUAUAUAUAUUUGCUCUUUGAAAUAUUUGCUCUAUUUCACCACUUCUCUGAUCUUUGUGUUUUUUUCUUCUGUGAAUUUUGGGUUUGUUCUUGCUCUUCCAGUUUCUUGGAGUGUAUCAUUAGAUUGUUUAUUUAAAAUCUUUAUUUUUGUUGAUGUAGGCAUUUAUUGCUAUACACUUCUCUCUUAGCAUUGCUUUUGCUGUGUCCCACAGGUUUUGCAUGUUAUGUUUCUAUUUUCAAUUGUUUCAAGAAAUUUUUGAUUUUCAUCUUAAUGGUCAUUCAAGAGCAUGUUGUUUAAUUUCCAUGUAUUUGUAUAGUUUCCAAGUUCCUUCUGGUAUUGAUUUAUAUAGUUUUAUUCCAUUGUGGUCUGAGAAGAUAUUUGAUAUAAUUUUGAUUUUUGAAAAUUUGUUGAGACAUGCUUUCUGGCCUAACGUAUAGUCAAUCCUGGUGAAUGUACCAUGUCCUGAUGAGAAGAAUGUUUAUUCUGCAGUUGUUGGAUAAAAUGUUCUGUAAAUGUCUAUUAGGUCCAUUUGGUCUAAAGUCCAGUUUAAGUCUAAUGCUUCUCUGGGAGUGGGGAGUUGAAGUCUCCCACUAUUAUUGUAUCAGAGUCUAGCUCUUUCUUUAGAUCUAGUAAUAUUUGACUUAUGAAUCUGGGUGCUCCAGUGUUGGGUGCAUAUGUAUUUAAAAUUAUUGUAUCCUCUUGCUGGAUUUAUCCCUUUCUCAUUACAUAAUGACUGUCUUUGUCUUUUUUUAAAAACUGCUUUUGACUUAAAGUCUGUUUUAUCUGAUAUAAGUAUAACUGCUCCUGCUCACUUUUGAUUUCUGUUUGUGUGGAAUAUCUUUUUCCAACCUUUUACUUUCAGUCUGUAUCUGUCUUUACAGGUAAAGUGUGUUUCUUGUAGGCAGCAUAUAGUUGGUUCACUUUUUAAAAAUUUCUUAAGUCAGUCUACAUCUUUUAAGUGGAGAAUUGAAUCCAUUUACAUUCGAAGUAAUUAUUGAUAUAUGAGGUUUUAUUUGCUUUACUGUUAAUUAUUUUCUGAUUGCUUCCUUUUUUUUUUCUCUCUUAUUGUUUGUCCUUGUGGUUUGCUGUUCUCCUGUGGUGGUACCAUUUGAGUCUUUUCUCUUCCUCAUUUGUGUGUUUGCUUUAUAGUGAGUUUUAUAAGUUUGUGUAUUUUCAUGAUGCUAACUGUCAUCUUUUUGCUUUCGGGUUUCGGACUUUUUUGAGCAUAUAUUGUAAGGUCAGUUCAGUAGUGAUGAAAUCCCUCAGCAUUUGCUUGGGAAAGACUGUAUUUCUCCUUCAUUUAUGAAGAAUAAUUUUGCUGGAUGUAGUACCCUUGGGUAGGAGUAGUUUUUUCUUUCAGCACUUUGAAUAUAUCAUCCUAUUCUCUCCUGGUGUGUAAAGUAUCUGCUGAGAAGUCAACUGUUAGUCCAAUAGGGGCUCCUUUAUAAGUGACCAGAUGCUUUUCUCUGGCUACUUUUAGAAUCUUCUCUGUCAUUGACAGAGAAAGCAGAUCUAGCCUAUCAUUGAAGCUUUCAAGUAUAUUUUAUCUUUCAUUCCAGGAGUUCUCCAGUCCCAGAAUUUCUAUUUAGUCCUUUUUAAUGAUAUUUAUCUCUUUGUUACAUGUCUCAUUCAUAUUCUGAAUUGUUUUUCUUAUUUCUUUGUAUCGUUUUUCAGAAUUCUUUUGUAUCUCACUGAGCUUAUUUAGUAUCACACUUUUGAAUUCUGUUUUCAGAAUUUCAUGAAUUUCUUUUUGAUUGGCAUCUGUUGCUGGGAAAUUAUUGUGUUCUUGAGGUGUCAUAUUUCCUUGCUUUUUCAUGUUUCCUGCAUCCUUAAAUUGAUAUCUGUGCAUCUGCUGUAGUAGUAAUUUCUUUCAAUUUUUAAAAUUUGCUUUCAUAUGGGAGGACUUUUUCCUGAAGAUGUAUCAAUAAUGUUGCUUGGAUAGGGCCCUUUGGGCUUUGAUUCUGGGCGUGUGCAGUAGUGUAGUCUCUGCAUGAUUUCUUUGACUGUAGAUGGCAUGAAUGAUAUCUGUGAUUUCUUUGGUUGUUUAGGGUGCAUUUAUUAGUAGAGGCUGUGAUGAAGUUUUGCUGAGGACAAAGCUGCCAGGUGGGCCAGUCUUCAGGCCUCAGUGGUGGCAGCAGUGGGCUGAGUAUACUUGUUCUUAGCCCCAGGGUGACAUUUGCUAGCACUGGUGUUAGUGGGACCAGGCAGGUCAAUUCUUGAGCCUCCAGGUGGCUCACUCAAAUACUGGCAGUGGCAGUGGUGGGCCAGGAGGGUGAAUGAGUUCUGAGAUACCUAGGCAGCUGGCGUGGUAUGGGUGCUGGCAGUAGCAGUGGGAGGAUGAUUCUCUGGGUCUGAGUAGUGUGCACUGGUGUUGGCAGUGGCUGUGAUAUGAGGUCACCAUCCACAGCCCCAGACAUGUAGCUGACAGGCUUGCCUGCUCUUGGUGGCAGCAGCGCAGCAGCACCGCAGCACCACAUAGAAGUGGGAAGGGACCCUGUCUUUUGCCCAUAAGCCUGGGCAUGAAAGCCACAUUGCCAGUUGGGGCGUGGUUGCCACUCACAGCCCCAGACAGGCAGCCUUUUGUCUUGCCUGUCCUAGCUCCUGGUGGCAGCAGCAGUGGCUACAGCUGCAGCAGUGUGACAAAGGGGAGAGAAGGUCCUGCUGUCUAUGGGCAAGCCUGAGCACAGAGGCUGCUCUGCUGGUGGGGGUGGGGUCACUUCUCUCAGCCCCAGACUGUCAGCUCUCAGGAUUAUCCACCUCGGCUCCUGGUUGCAGCAACUGCUGUGGCAGUAUGUGGAGCGAGCACCUCUGGCUCCCAACUUCUCCUGACUGAGCUGGCCACUCGCUUCCUUCUCCUCUGUGCCUCAGGCGCUUGCUGAGACUUCUCUGUUGGACUCUAGUGCUCUCUCCUGGAUGUUCUAUUCGAGCUCUGCCGCACUAAGCUCUCUACAUGGCCGAGGCACCAGACCAGAAUGCGCCCUUUCGACAGGCAGAGAGAGCCAAAGGGGAAAAGAGCUGAGUCAAGGCUGCCAAGUUCCUGCUUCCAGCCCUACCAGCCGGUCACUCGCGCCUUGCAAUGAGGAAACCAGGAGUCCUAUCUAGAGCCUUUCCAUAGUUGUGGGAAAGAAGAUGGGUAAAGUUAUUGUUAAUCUACAGAGGAAGGAAUGAUGCCAAGUUUUUCAAGGCUUCCAGAGUCACAGGAGGAGUCACUUGGUAAAUCCAGGAGCAGAAACCAGGUUAAGUGACUAGCCUAAGGUAAGAGCCAGAUUUGGAGCUUGGAAUCUGAUAGCCCUUAGGGUGCUUUAUUCCCUGAGCCAAUCCACACUUCUACCUCAGUAAAGGAAUCAACUGAGGGCUCAGCUUUUCCUCUGCAAGAAACCUGCUCUCUGGGACAGUGAUAAUAUUAGGAGGUGGGGCCUUUCGGGAGGUGAUUGGGUCAUGAGGGUAGAACCCUUGUGAAUGGGAUUAACGAUCUUAUACAAUAGGCCCAAGGGAGCUCAUUCAUCCCUUCCACCACGUGAGGAUGUGGUGAGAAUGUGCUAUCUAUGAACCAGGAAGCAGACCCUCAGCAGACACUGAAUCUACCAGUCCCUUGACCUUGGACAUCCUAACCUCCAGAACUCAUGCACAAGCAAUUCUAAACAAGGCUCAGCGAUAACAUAUCCCUUCCCAUGAGUGGAUCACUCCCACUGCCUCUUUCACACACCCUGCCUCCUGCAAGCCAAUGCUGUGAAGCCCAACCUAGCCAUGUGGCAAGGGAGAUGUCUGCCCAGUCUCCAGCUGCUCCAGCCAUCCCAGCUCAGGCACCAGUCACUUGAGGGAAGAAGCCAUCUUGGAUGUCCAGCCUAGUCUGGCUUUGAGAAGACUCUAGCUCCUGCUGCCAUCUUACUGCAGUUUCAUGAAGGAUCAAAUGUCAUAGCCAUCCAGCCGAGCCUUGGCAAACUACAGACUGUAUAAGGAGUUUUUUUAGGGCACUCUGUUACGCAGCAAUUGAUAAACAAAAAAGAGAAGAGGCAUGCAAGAAGAAGAGAGCCUCUUCUCUCUUAAAAUAGCAACAAGUGUCCUUGGCUGUGUGGGGUCUCUAGAGAUCAGCUAAUCUUGAUGUUGACAGAGGCCAAAAGUACUUGAUUUCACUACCGGAUGGAAAUUAUAUCUGUGUAGAUGUUGCUAAGCAACAAGAGAUCAGAAACCUAUAAGGAGUGACCAUAUAAUGCAAAGCAUUGAGUCAGCCAACUGAGUUCCUCCUGCACUUAUUUUUUAGAACCUGCUUAUAAAAGAAGCAAUGUCCACAAUGUGUGGGGGGAGGAAAGUCUCCUGGGACCUUAAGAGGAAAGCGUACACUUCAUCAUAAUUUGCCUGCAAUGAUCAGCAAACGAAAAAGUCAAUACACAACCUGAAAAAUGGUCAUUGUUUGUGAUUUAAAAGAAGAGUAAGCUUUAGGAAUAAAUACUAACAUCACUGGGAACUCUGUCUCAUCCUCACAUCCUUUGAAAAGGCAUUUAUGAUAAUGUAAGCACAAAGAACAAAACUAUUUAAAGACCACACACAUACCCUCUCAAACAAAUCACCUCCCUUUGGGAAAGCAACAUGUUCACUGUGAUAAUUCAGCAUCAGGACCUGAGGUGGUGGGAACAGCUUUGGCUGGUUUGCUGCUCUCCAAGGAGCUCCUGUGCCGGCCGCAUUGGACAAGCAUCUCUGCCCUGCGGCGCAGAGUCUCCAGGACCAGCAGAUGGCGGACUUGCACAGUCCACACAUUUUCCAGGUUCUCAAGUGUUCGCUUCCUGGAUGUUCUGACUAAUUUAAACUAUGGUUAAUUGAAGACUGAAAUAUUCGGGAAACUAUGACAGGAACAAUUUGCUACGGACAGUUUCCACCUGUACUCUCAAGACUUAGAAGCCAUAUGGAUAGAAUGAAAUAGGAAUUGGUGGUGUCUUGGAAUAUCUGCUUCAGGACGAUAAUGAAACUAAUGAUUUAGGGCAGUAGAAGAAGCCGUGGGAGGAACUUUCACAUUUGGCGAGCAUGGAAUCCCCUCUGCAGUUAUGUUUGCCUGUGCAUCUCCGGCAGCUGGAGGACGAAUCACAUCAGGCUGAUGAGUGUGUCACGCUCUUCAUCCCCCAAGAGCUGUGAUGAAGACCAAGACAAACAGUAGAUUAACAGUGCUACCUUUUAUAAGGCUGAUUAGUUCCUAAAAUAUGCUGAAAGGAAACAAAACCAAAAAGAAAAAAGAGUGGAAAGGGGGGUGAGACAGAAACCUUUGUCGAGUCUCAUUCCAUCACCCAGGCUGGAGUGCAGCGGCGUGAUCUUGGCAACCUCCACCUCCCAGGCUCAAGAAAUCCUCCCACCUCAGCCUCCCAAUAGCUGGAUCUACAGGCGUACACCACCACAAUCAGCUGUAUUUUUUGUAGAGACUGGGUUUCGCCAUGUUGCCCAGGGUGGUCAUGAACUUGUGAGCUCAAGUGAUCUGCCCGCCUCAGCCUCCCAAAGUGCUGGGAUUACAGGCAUGAGCCACCGCCCCUGGCCUAAUAAAAUUUAUUUUUAAAAAAGGACCUAUGGCGAAUCAUUUUUACAAAUAAAAUCUAUAGUCAAGGUGCAGUAUGGGAACAGCAUUUUACUGAGUAAUCUUGCAAAGAAUAUGUCAUUAACCACUACACUAAUCUUGUUCUUGAUGUACACCAGCAACAAAUACAAAGAAAAAUUUAGUCUCUUACUUUAACAGGUUCCAAGUAUGCCACAUCGUAUUUUUUGCCAAAUAAUUUAUUAGUAAGAGGAGAUGACUCUAGUAAGUUAUAGAAGUUAUAUUGAAUUUUUAAAAAAAAUUUUUCAAAACUAUUCUGUGGGGAUUGAGGACAGAUGAACUACAAAGGAACAUGAUGGAACUUUCUGGGGUGAGCAUAAUGUUCUAUAUGAUGAUAGGGGCUUGGGUUACAUAAGUGAGCAUUUAUGAAAACUGUACACUUUUUGUGCAUUUCAUUGUGUAUAAAGUUUACUUCAAAAAAAACAUUGAACUCCAAUUAAUUACAUGCAUGCUGAACUAUUUAGAGUGAAGUAUACUGAUGCCUGUUGUUUACUUUGAAGUAUUUCAAAACAGUAAAAUGGAUAGAGGAAUGUGUAAUAAAUUGGUACACGAUAAGGAAAAUAUAGUCAAUUAUGUUAAUAGUAAAAUCUAGAUGGUGAGUAAACUGGUG
Molecule: long non-coding RNA, 9293 nt
Filed under: Homo sapiens (human)
Lineage: Eukaryota; Metazoa; Chordata; Mammalia; Primates; Hominidae
Description: HSALNT0209536
Source: RNAcentral